CUGCCUGUUGACCGGGACGCUGGAAACUGCCUCGUCAAAGGAUCGACGUGCGCACUGCUUCAAACCUCCGUUCCUCUUCGAGAUCCACCUCAAGAACCUGCAAAGAAACAGAGCGGCGCCGCUGCGGCCGAUCGCACUCCAACGCCCAAGUCAGUGACCGAAUCACCAAAUACUAAGAGAACAAGAACCGUGCAAAUCCUCUCUCACAGUAAGCUCUAUAACUCGCAAGCGUAAAG
RNAcentral lists this long non-coding RNA (236 nucleotides) under Phaseolus vulgaris (common bean). RNAcentral's name for it is "long non-coding RNA (PVUL_LNC000329)". Lineage: Eukaryota; Viridiplantae; Streptophyta; Magnoliopsida; Fabales; Fabaceae. The record is from RNAcentral.